AGUAACGCGUGAGCAAUCUGCCUUUAAGAGGGGGAGUAACAGUCGGAAACGGCUGCUAAUACCGCAUAAAGCAUCAAAUUCGCAUGUUUUUGAUGCCAAAGGAGCAAUCCGCUUUUAGAUGAGCUCGCGUCCGAUUAGCUAGUUGGUGAGGUAACGGCCCACCAAGGCGACGAUCGGUAGCCGGACUGAGAGGUUGAACGGCCACAUUGGGACUGAGACACGGCCCAG
RNAcentral lists this ribosomal RNA (228 nucleotides) under uncultured bacterium. RNAcentral describes it as "partial 16S ribosomal RNA". It matches the Rfam family "Bacterial small subunit ribosomal RNA", at positions 109 to 334 of the family's 1533-position model. The record is from RNAcentral.